UUCAGACUUAAUAUUUUCCAGUCCGUUGUGUGAGCCUGGAAUGGAUAUUUCUUCGAUAUAUUUUUUUAAUUGAGCAAAAAAUUUCCCACCCACACCCGGCGCCUGGACGACUCUCUCAAUUAAUUUUAAUGACUAAAUUGUGUGAUUGAUGAACCACAAGUUGAGUAACAUGGGCACAGAAUUAAUUCUACGACGAGGACGGGUUUGAAUCCACUUCUUGGCGACGACGGCGACACCGACGACCACGCCAAACUGAGUGAGCAAUUAACUAAUUAUUCUUCUUUUUCUUCCUUCCUAGCAGCAGCUGUUCAUUAUUUUCUUCCGCGGGGUCAAAUUUUUAACAAAUAACAACAGUCUCGUAGCCACCCGGCCCGGGUAAUUUGGCAAUUUAACUCCUAAUUAAUCAACAAUUAACGUGAAUAAUUAACUCUUUCAGGUGGACGAGACCCAAAUACAACAAUACAAUAUAACAACAAUAGCCAGCCCGGAAUUUAAAAGUGAAAGUUUCUCCUCACACUGAAUAAUAACGACUAAACGACCAUCUUUUUUGAAUAACAAUGAUUAUCUUCUUAGUUAUUAGCUAACUGUAGUAGCGACACAGACGACGAGACAACCACCAACCAACUAGUAACUUCCGCCUCCUAAGAUUUAGUUAGAUUUCACUUUUUUACAAUCCUCUCCUCCUCCUCCUUGUUUCGAAAUCCGUCCAAUUUCAAAACUUGAACCGUGUAAUUUUCCACUCUAGAUAUUUUUUUUUCAAGAAACUUUCAAACCGUCUCUCUCUCUCGUAACAAUUUUAACAAGUAACUAAAUGUCCAAUUUUUUCAAUUUAUUUAGGCUGCGUUGCAGCCUGGCCUGAACUUGGCCGAGAUUAUAACAAACAAGAAAAGUGGAAUGUCUAGAUUUUAUUUAAUGUGGUUAGUUAAGUUACCACAUACACAUACACACACACAUCAAGUAGUUAACUUUAACUAAAGGUAGUAGCUCUUACUAAUUUUCUAUGAAAUUUCAGACAGAGAGAAACAGAGAGAUUCGUCGUCCAUCCAACUCUUGACGAAGACUGACUACCAAAAAGUUUUGCAUCGACGAGAAGAGCAUCAAAACUGAGAGGAAUAUUGUAUUUACGUGUCCACUUUACUUUACUUAAAGGUAGCCAUUAACUAUUCGGUAUGUGUAAUGGAAAUGAAAUGCAGGAGAGGAUUGGAUAAGUUGAGUAGUUGUGGAAGUACCCAUCACGAACGACCAACGAUCACACCAUAAAUAUGACCAACCAACCAUUACUUUACUUACGCCUGACGCGAGGUAAAUGCAGUGCUAUAAGUAUACUAUAUUUUGUUUGAUGGAUUUCUUAACUGACAAGUAACGAGCUGACCUGCAUUAUAUUUACAUAUGUGGAAUGAAAAUGAGACGUGGCUACAAUUUCGCUAAUUUUGUUAAGUAUUUUAUUUAUGUCGUAUUUUUCUUCUGAAUGAAAUUACUCCUGGUUUUAAACGAGCUUUUUGUUACAGAAAUACAGACAAUCGACUCAUUUACAUGGACGAAGGCAAACAAAUUGUGCUAAUUUUUCCCACAAAUUCUAUGUACAUACGUAUUUCCUCACCAAUACAAAAACCAGAAACGUAACGUCCAACGUGACGAAGGAUUUCUUUUGUGGAAUUGAAAUCUCUUCAAAUUUUUACUUUGUUCAAUUUGAUUCAUGAAAUGAAAAUAUUACCAAAUUUCUAUCCAUUUAAGAAUCAAGAUCUGGUGGAAAAUCGUCUCGGGGGACGUGCAUGAUCAAUAAAAUAUUACCAAAUUUUCAUUUAAAAAUGAA
Long non-coding RNA from Folsomia candida, 1813 nucleotides. RefSeq lists it as uncharacterized. The transcript is spliced from 4 exons. The record is from RefSeq and is a predicted model, not a curated record. Lineage: Eukaryota; Metazoa; Arthropoda; Collembola; Entomobryomorpha; Isotomidae.